UGUCUCCCAGGUUGGAGUGCAGUGGCACGAUCUUGGCUGACUGCAACCUCUGCCUCCCAGGUUCAAGCAAUUCUCCUGCCUCAGCCUCCCAAGUAGCUGGGAUUAGAGGUGCAUGCCACCAUGCCUGGCUAAUUUUUGUGUUUUAGUAGAGAUGGGGUUUCCGCAUAUUGGCCAGGCUGGUCUCGAACUCCUGACCUCAGGUGAUCUGCCCACCUUGGCCUCCCAAAGUGCUGGGAUUACAGGCGUGAGCCACCGUGCCUGGCUGAUGUUCUUUUUCAUGGUUGCAUUGUAUUCCAUGGUGUAUAUGUACCACAUUUUCCUUAGCCAGUCUCCUAUUGAUGUGCAUAUCAGUUUAUUAAUUUUCUUUUAAAGAACAGAUAAAUUUAUAAUGUAAAUUUUUAUUUGCCUUUAUGGUAACCUGUGACAUUGGAAGGGGAUUAUUGACCAUCUGUAUAGUCAUAAUCUCUUUCCUAUAAAUCUGAAAAAUAUAAUGGAACUCCAUCUUAUGUAUUUCAAAACUGAUUAAUGAAUUGACUGAUAUUUUCAAAAAUGGACAAUUGGGAGAUGCUUUAACUCUGGCAUAUCACAUUCACUCAGCCAGUGAAAUGAUUUUCUUCAGUAUAUUAAAUAUUAUAUUUAAUUGUGAAUAUGUUUGAUAAACUCAGAGUUUAAAAUAAACCUCUCAAGCUUUGGUUUUUGUGUAUGGUGACAAAGCUCAGUAUGAUUUGCAGAGGUUGGAAAUGAAAAUCAAAGACAAAUUCUAGAAAAAAAAUAACACAAAGUAAUCCUAAAUGAAGCCAUGUAGCAAAUGGAAGGAAAUAUAAAAUGACAUAAUGACAAUAUGCAAGGAUGAAAAGAUAAGAAAAUUCAUUAACAUUACAAUGAGAUAUAAGUAAAGAAAGACCAUUCAGAGUUAACUGUAGCAGAAUAAAGGAUUUGGCAGCCCUCUUUGUAAUUCUACCAUGACGAUUUCCAAACCACUGAAUAAGGUUUUGUAUUUCUAAUUAGCUAAGUACUAGAAAUAUGUUCUCUAAUGUGACUCAUAUGGAUAUGUGGCAUAUGGACAAAAAAAUUCUGUGGUACUCAAGCUUAAUAUAGAUUAAAUACAUGUUCUUUGUGACAUAAAUUAUGAGAAGUUUUUCCGAUACAAUAUUGUAAUUUACUUGAAUGGCAUCUCUAGAACUUCAGACAGGUGUGAUAGAAUACACUGCAGAGAUAUUUAUGUGUUUGAUCAGGGUUUUUCUUUUUCUUUUUUUAAGACAGAGUCUCACUCUGUUGUCCAGGCUGGAGUGCAGUGGCACUAUCUCGGCUCCAACCUCUGCCCCCCAAGUUCAGGCGAUUCUCCUGCCUCAGCCUCCCAAAUAGCUGGGAUUACAAGUGCCCACCACUAUGCCCGGCUAAUGUUGUAUUUUUAGUAGAGAUGGGGUUUCACCAUGUUGGCCAGGCUGGUCUCAAACUCCUAACCUCCAGUGAUCCACCCACCUCAGCCUCCCAAAGUUUUGUAAUUACAGGCGUGAGCCACCACACCAGGCCAGGGUUUUUCCUUUGCUAACUCUAGGCUAGCUUUCACAGUCCUUGACCAAUACUAGGUCUUUGAGUGAACCCCAAACAAUCAUCACCAGGCACACUUUGAUAUCAUUGCUAAAACUGAAGUCUGACCUGGAUAGAAAGGCUAAUGGUAACCAUAAUGAUUGCUUUCAUAUAUUGAGUGCCUAUGACAUAUGAAAGCAAUCAUUAUGUACUGCCCAUGGGUUACCUUAUUUAAUCCUCACGACAGCCCGGUUUGACAUAUGAAGAAACUGAGGCACAGAGAAGGUAAGUAGCUUACUCAAGUUUAUCCAGCCAAGAAGUGGCAGACCUGAACACAGGACUUCUGGCUCCAGUCCCCAAACUCUAAACCUUACCGUGCUGUAGUACUUUAUAUGCAAUAGUAAUUUUGUGCUACCAUUGGAGAUGUCCCCAAAUCUCUUUGGCAUUGUUAUCAUGAUGUUUGUCUCUUUGGUCUACUUUUUUCCUGUUCUGAUGCAGCAACAGGACCCAUUUUGAUUCAGAGAAUAUGGUGCCCUUAAUGAAUCAUCAAGAAGUCCAUAGACAGUUUUAGGGGUUUUCUGUGGAGAUCUCAUUUCUUAAUUCUGACUCAACCCACCAGAAUGAAUGGAUAAUUAUGGCAUUUGAAUCUUGCAUACGAUUAAGUGAAUAAAAAUGCUUUGCCCCAUUUGCUAGUAGAAAAGAAAUAAAGCCACAUUUUUGGAAUGCAAUACUUAUAUCAGUUAAAAACAACUUCUCCCUAUACUUACCGUCUAUUAGUUUGAUUUUUAGGGAGAUUUAUUAACAUUUUAGUCCUUCAUGGUAGUACUAUUGUGCAAUCCAAGAAUUAUGGGGGAGUUUUUGGAAAUGAGAGGAGGCUCAGGGAAUUAUAGGCAACCAAGAUUCUCAAGGCCAAACCCAACAGCGAUACUGAUAAUACAUGUGUGCUUAAUAUCCAGUUUUUAAAUUUUCUCAUGCAAUACUAAUCUCAUUGCUUUUGUAUGUCAGAUUUUAAAAUAGAGCAUGCUUAAUGUACUUCACAUGUCUGCAAGGGGAACAGCAGCAAAUACCACAGUCCCAUGGUAAAUAAUGUACCCAACAGCGUUACUGAUAAUACAUAUGUGCUUACUAUCCAGUUUUUAAAUUUUCUCAUGCAAUACUAAUCUCAUUGCUUAUGUAUGUCAGAUUUUAAAAUAGAGCAUGCUUAAUGUACUUCACAUGUCUGCAAGGGGAACAGCAGCAAAUACCACAGUCCCAUGGUAAAUAUAAGGGAAAAACAAAGGCACAUAUGUGUUAACAAGUCUGAUGAAUGGCUCAUGCCUGUAAUUGCAGCACUUUGGGAGGCCCAGGUGAGAGGAUCACGAGGUCAGGUGUUCGAGACCAGCCUGGCCAACAUGGUGAAACCCCGUCUCUACUAAAAAUACAAAAAUUAGCCGGGCGUGGUGGCAGGCACCUGUAAUCCCAGUUACUCGGGAGGCUGAGGCAGGAGAGUCACUUGAAACCAGAAGGUGGAGGUUGCAGUGAGCUGAGAUCACACCACUGCACUCCAGCCUGGGCAACAAGAGCAAAACUCCGUCUCAACAGCAACAACAACAACAAUAACAGCAAAGCCUGAUGAAAUCCUAACUCAGCAGUGGCACAAUUACUUCAUAGAUUGGAUUAUUUUGAAAAGAACCAGCAAACCCCAUUUGGUAGAUGUAUUUUGAGUCUUUUUUUUUUUCUGAGACAGGAUCUUGCAAUAUCACCCAGGCUAGAAUACAGUGACUCCAUCACAGCUCACUGUAGCCUCGACCUCCUGGGCUCAGGCAAUCCUCUUACCUCAGCCUCUUGAGCAGCUGGGACUACAGGCACAUGCCACCAUGCCCAGAUAAUUUUCUUAAAAUAUAUUUUGUAGAGACAGGGUUUUGCCGUGUUGUCAGGCUAGUCGCAAGCUCCUGAGCUCAAGUGACCCCUCCUUGGCCUACCCAAAGUGCUGGGAUUACAGGCAUCAGCCACUGCGCCUGUGCGGCCUGCAUUUUGAAUCUGUAGGUGAGCCGGCUCCCUGCUAGGUGCUAAGGACACAGAAAUGAAUACCACCCCUCCCUUCCUCUCAGAGGGCUCCCAAUCUGCUCCUCUUUUCUCUGUUAAAUCAUUUUGCCUUUGAGUCUUGCAUAAUGAUGUGGCCACAUUGAGACCUAGUUGAACAGUUUCACAAUAACUCCCUUAAGUCAGAGGGCCUUGGUGAAAUAACAUUGACUUUUACUCUGAAAUCCAUGAAAAUACAAAGUUUACUGUUUUGUUCUCCUUGAUAAAAUAUAGCAUAAUAACUAGUUGCUGGGUUACUACCUAAAACACAGGCCCCAAACUACAGCCAGGAAGGGCAGUUAGCAAUUAAGUAAAGGAAAUGACUAUGACUAGUGGGUCUGAAACCCAACACACUGCCCAUAUCCUUCUUAGCAUAGGGAGGCAUUGAUGUUACUUAGGCAACUUUUAUCACUAAGGAAGUAGUUUUGGUGACUCAUGCUCAUACAGAAUGACUUAUUUCAAGACCUGAGCGUUCAGUAACCUUACCAUUAUGCUUCUGUUUUCUUUUUUUUUGGACUCAGAUAGCAAAGCUCCCUUUGGAUGACAUAGAUUUAUUACUUAGUAGUAUAUUAUGUAUUGGCUGUCCCACAUUUUGAAAUUUAAUGGACUCGUGGUGAUCAAAAUAAAAGAAGCCUUCGAUGUGAGGCCCAGGCAUUGAGUACCAUGUGUGCGAUUCACGAGGCUUGGCAUCUGAACAAUUUUUUGGAAGGAUCCAUCAGGACAACACAUCGGGGGUGUACUAGUGAAGUGAUUUUCAAAAUGUGCUACUCAGACCUGUAGCAUCAGCAUCACCGGAUAAUUUGUUAGAAAUUCCAACUGUUAGGCCCCACUUUAGACCAACUGAAUGUGAAACUCUGGGAGUACGUGGGGCACAGCAAUUUGUGUUUUUACAAGACUUACCAGGUGAUUCUGAGAACCACUGUGCUAGUGAAUUGUUCCUGUCUGUGGCCACGUAGAAUAAGAAAACCAUAGGGUUGGAAAAUGGGGAAAUUGAUGAGUGUUCGCUUAUGAGGAAAUGAAGAAUAGAUAGAAAAGAAUUAGUUAACUUUUGGAAUUCAAAAAAGAAGCAGUUUGUAAAAGCCAGGAAUUUGAUUUGAAGGACUAAUUGCUUGCAGAAUCUUUGCUUUCUCAGAGAGGGGCAAUCCAGAUCACUAGGUUACCGUGAAAUAUAUUGGUAUGGCUCUAAAAUUCUAGAAUAAUCUCUUUAGUGAGAAAAGGCAUACCUUUCCAUAUUAGGACAAAACUUCAAAUCAGGUUUGUAAAAUCCUAUAAGAUUAUUGUAUCCCAUUGCCAUGGCCAACUUGUUUGUCUCUGGAGAUCCCAGUUUCUACAUCUGAAAACCAUAUGCAUUCCUGCUCACCAGGAAUUAUCUCGCUGAAUGAAGCAAGAGAUUCAGGAUGUGUAAGAGAAUUUAUGAAGCAUUUGGAUUACCAAGAAAUGUGAAGUAUAAAGAUCAAGAAUGAUUAAUACAAACACUGAUGGUAAAGAGGUGUUUCGAAGUCGAUACAAAAAAUGAGUUGCUUAUUUCAGUCUCUCUUUGAUAUGUCUGCCUUUUUAGUGCUGACUCUAUCAUGUAUUCACUAUUUGAUUUUCAGUGAAUCACAUUUUUUAAAGCUUUUAAUCUGUUUCCUCAAAAAAUAUAUUUUUAAAAAAUAUUUACUCAGAAUUGUUGUGAGAAUAAAAUUGAUUCGAUUGAUAUUUCAAAAAAGAAAUAUAUUUUUAAAAAAUAAAGCAAUACCAUUUUUGGAUAUGCUA
Long non-coding RNA from Gorilla gorilla gorilla (western lowland gorilla), 5346 nucleotides. RefSeq lists it as uncharacterized. The record is from RefSeq and is a predicted model, not a curated record. Lineage: Eukaryota; Metazoa; Chordata; Mammalia; Primates; Hominidae. The transcript has 2 exons.